UUUCUCAUUGCAUCCUCGCGACUAAUGACAAUCCUUAUCCCUCGGAUAAAGCCUCUCAUUAGCCGCGCGAACCUCAGCAAUGGAAUAAUUUACUUCAGCAAUAGCUGAUGAUCAUCAAUUACUAUUGCACCCUAGAAGAAAGGGGCCACAAAAGGCCCCUUUCU
RNAcentral lists this small RNA (164 nucleotides) under Biostraticola tofi. RNAcentral's name for it is "SraG RNA". It matches the Rfam family "SraG RNA". Rfam says of the family: This RNA was discovered in E. coli during a large scale screen. Evidence was found for specific cleavage of this RNA. The record is from Rfam by way of RNAcentral. Lineage: Bacteria; Pseudomonadati; Pseudomonadota; Gammaproteobacteria; Enterobacterales; Bruguierivoracaceae.